RNAcentral lists this transfer RNA (65 nucleotides) under Niastella koreensis GR20-10. RNAcentral's name for it is "tRNA-Lys (TTT) (tRNA-Lys-TTT-4-1)". The record is from RNAcentral. Lineage: Bacteria; Pseudomonadati; Bacteroidota; Chitinophagia; Chitinophagales; Chitinophagaceae.
GUAGCUCAGUUGGUAGAGCAUCCCGAUUUUAUCGGGAGGGCCCCUGGGUUCGAAAUCUGUCUUAU